UUUUAUGGAGAGUUUGAUCCUGGCUCAGAGUGAACGCUGGCGGCGUGCCUAAUACAUGCAAGUCGAACGAUGAAGCUUCUAGCUUGCUAGAAGUGGAUUAGUGGCGCACGGGUGAGUAAGGUAUAGUUAAUCUGCCCUACACAAGAGGACAACAGUUGGAAACGACUGCUAAU
Molecule: ribosomal RNA, 173 nt
Filed under: Campylobacter jejuni
Lineage: Bacteria; Pseudomonadati; Campylobacterota; Epsilonproteobacteria; Campylobacterales; Campylobacteraceae
Description: partial 16S ribosomal RNA
Rfam family: Bacterial small subunit ribosomal RNA
Source: RNAcentral